RNAcentral lists this ribosomal RNA (1527 nucleotides) under Sanguibacteroides justesenii. RNAcentral's name for it is "bacterial SSU rRNA". It matches the Rfam family "Bacterial small subunit ribosomal RNA". Lineage: Bacteria; Pseudomonadati; Bacteroidota; Bacteroidia; Bacteroidales; Porphyromonadaceae. The record is from RNAcentral.
AUGAAGAGUUUGAUCCUGGCUCAGGAUGAACGCUAGCGACAGGCUUAACACAUGCAAGUCGAGGGGCAGCGGGGAGUGGCGACACUCUGCCGGCGACCGGCGCACGGGUGCGUAACACGUGUGCAACCUGCCCGUCACCGGGGGAUAACCCGUGGAAACGCGGACUAAAACCCCAUGAGACGAGAAUGGCGCAUGCCAUGAACGUUAAAACCGAGGUGGUGACGGAUGGGCACGCGGGACAUUAGGUAGUUGGCGGGGUAACGGCCCCCCAAGCCGACGAUGUCUAGGGGUUCUGAGAGGAAGGUCCCCCACACUGGUACUGAGACACGGACCAGACUCCUACGGGAGGCAGCAGUGAGGAAUAUUGGUCAAUGGGCGGAAGCCUGAACCAGCCAAGUCGCGUGAGGGAUGACGGGUCCAUGGCCUGUAAACCUCUUUUGUGAAGGAAGAACCGCGGGGACGUGUCCCCGCCUGCCAGUACUUCACGAAUAAGCAUCGGCUAACUCCGUGCCAGCAGCCGCGGUAACACGGGGGAUGCGAGCGUUAUCCGGAUUCAUUGGGUUUAAAGGGAGCGUAGGCGGCCCGACAAGUCAGCGGUAAAAGACUGCAGCUAAACUGUAGCGCGCCGUUGAAACUGCCGGGCUAGAGUGCAGACGAGGUUGGCGGAACAGGUGAAGUAGCGGUGAAAUGCAUAGAUAUCACCUGGAACCCCGACAGCGAAGGCAGCUGACCAGGCUGUAACUGACGCUGAUGCUCGAGAGCGUGGGUAGCGAACAGGAUUAGAUACCCUGGUAGUCCACGCCGUAAACGAUGCUCACUGGCCCUGGGCGACAUACAGUCCGGGGUCGAGCGAAAGUAAAAGUGAGCCACCUGGGGAGUACGUCGGCAACGAUGAAACUCAAAGGAAUUGACGGGGGCCCGCACAAGCGGAGGAACAUGUGGUUUAAUUCGAUGAUACGCGAGGAACCUUACCCGGGUUUAAAUGCAGGUUGCAUUAGGUGGAAACACCUAUUUCCCACGGGACCACUUGCAAGGUGCUGCAUGGUUGUCGUCAGCUCGUGCCGUGAGGUGUCGGGUUAAGUCCCAUAACGAGCGCAACCCCUAUCGAUAGUUGCCAUCGGUUAACGCCGGGCCCUCUAUCGAGACUGCCACCGUAAGGUGCGAGGAAGGCGGGGAUGACGUCAAAUCAGCACGGCCCUUACACCCGGGGCGACACACGUGUUACAAUGGCCGGUACAGAGGGUCGCGAGCCGGUAACGGCGAGCCAAUCUCAAAAACCGGUCUUAGUUCGGAUCGGGGUCUGCAACUCGACCCCGUGAAGUUGGAUUCGCUAGUAAUCGCGCAUCAGCCAUGGCGCGGUGAAUACGUUCCCGGGCCUUGUACACACCGCCCGUCAAGCCAUGGAAGCCGGGAGUACCUGAAGCUCGUAACCGCGAGGGCCGAUCUAGGGUAAUACCGGUAACUGGGGCUAAGUCGUAACAAGGUAGCCGUACCGGAAGGUGCGGCUGGAACACCUCCUUUCUGGAG